Molecule: ribosomal RNA, 1933 nt
Filed under: marine metagenome
Description: bacterial LSU rRNA
Rfam family: Bacterial large subunit ribosomal RNA
Source: RNAcentral
UCAAGCUACAAAGGGCUCACGGUGGAUACCUUGGCACACAGAGGCGAUGAAGGACGUGGUUACCUGCGAUAAGUCUCGGGGAGCUGGAAACACGCUUUGAUCCGGGAAUUUCCGAAUGGGGCAACCCCUAGAACGGCCGCCUGAAUCCAUAGGGCGGCACGAGCCAACCCAGCGAACUGAAACAUCUUAGUAGCUGGAGGAAAGGAAAGUAAAAACGACUCCCUAAGUAGCGGCGAGCGAACGGGGAAGAGCCUAAACCGAUGGUUUCGACCAUCGGGGUUGUGGGACAGCAACGUGGACCAACAGAGUUAGAAGAAGCGUUUGAAUGGCGCGCCACAGAGGGUGAAAGCCCCGUAUUCGAAAACAAAGUUGGCCUAGCUGUAUCCCGAGUAGCACGGAGCACGUGAAAUUCCGUGUGAAUCUGCGAGGACCACCUCGUAAGGCUAAGUACUCCUGUGUGACCGAUAGCGCAACAGUACCGCGAGGGAAAGGUGAAAAGAACCCCGGGAGGGGAGUGAAAUAGAACAUGAAACCGUGAGCUUACAAGCAAUGGGAGCCCUACUCAUAGGGUGACCGUGUGCCUGUUGAAGAAUGAGCCGGCGACUUAUAGGCACUGGCAGGUUAAACCGGGAAUGGUGGAGCCAUAGCGAAAGCGAGUCUGAAUAGGGCGAUCGUCAGUGUUUAUAGACCCGAACCCGGGUGAUCUAACCAUGGCCAGGAUGAAGCUUGGGUGAUACCAAGUGGAGGUCCGAACCGACUGAUGUUGAAAAAUCAGCGGAUGAGCUGUGGUUAGGGGUGAAAUGCCAAUCGAACCCGGAGCUAGCUGGUUCUCCCCGAAAUACGUUGAGGCGUAGCGUCUAGUGCUCCAGCAGGGGGGUAAAGCCACCGUUUCGGUGCGGGCUGCGAGAGCGGUACCAAAUCGAGACGAACUCUGAAUACCCUGUGUGUAACUAGGCAGUCAGACUGUGGGGGAUAAGCUCCAUGGUCGAAAGGGAAACAGCCCAGACCGCCAGCUAAGGUCCCCAAAUCAACACUAAGUGAUAAAGGAGGUGGGAUUGCCCAGACAACCAGGAGGUUUGCCUAGAAGCAGCCAUCCUCAAAGGAGUGCGUAAUAGCUCACUGGUCGAGCGAUCCUGCGCCGAAAAUGAACGGGGCUAAGUGUUGUACCGAAGCUGCGGAUUAAACUUGUUUAAUGGUAGGGGAGCGUUCCAUGUGGGGUGAAGCGUUAGCGUAAGCGGGCGUGGACUGCAUGGAAGUGAGAAUGUCGGCUUGAGUAGCGAAAACAUGGGUGAGAAUCCCAUGCCCCGAAACCCUAAGGGUUCCUCCGGCAGGCUCGUCCGCGGAGGGUUAGUCAGGACCUAAGGCGAGGCCGAAAGGCGUAGUCGAUGGACAACAGGUCAACAUUCCUGUACCUGUGAUGUUUUGGGAAGGGGGACGGAGAAGGCUAGCCAAGCCAGAUGUUGGUUACUGGUCCAAGCGUUCGAGGCGUUGAGAACCGGCGAAAACGGUUUGAGCUGAGGCGUGAGUGCGAGCUGCUACGGCAGCGAAGUUGGUGACGUCAUGCUUCCAAGAAAAGCCCUAUACCCGUUAAGGCAUGAUUGCCUGUACCCGAAACCGACACAGGUGGGGUGGUAGAGAAUACCGAGGGGCGCGAGGUAACUCUCUCUAAGGAACUCGGCAAAAUGACCCCGUAACUUCGGGAGAAGGGGUGCCACCGCAAGGUGGUCGCAGUGAAUAGGCCCAGGCGACUGUUUACCAAAAACACAGGUCUCCGCUAAGUCGCAAGACGAUGUAUGGGGGCUGACGCCUGCCCAGUGCCGGAAGGUUAAGGAAGCUGGUCAGCGUAAGCGAAGCUGGCGACUGAAGCCCCGGUGAACGGCGGCCGUAACUAUAACGGUCCUAAGGUAGCGAAAUUCCUUGUCGGGUAAGUUCC